RNAcentral lists this long non-coding RNA (2123 nucleotides) under Phasianus colchicus (ring-necked pheasant). Its description in RNAcentral is "lncRNA (ENSPCLG00000015067.1)". The record is from RNAcentral. Lineage: Eukaryota; Metazoa; Chordata; Aves; Galliformes; Phasianidae.
GUCCUGUGGGGUCUUAUGGGUCACCAUGGGGUCCUACAGGGGGUCCAUGGCGUCCUAUAGGGGCAUAUGGGGAUCCCAUGGAGUCUAAGGGGGCCACAUGGGGGUCCUAUGGGGGUCACAUUGGGUCCUAUGGGGUCCCAUGAGUUCCUGUGGGGAUUCCUUGGGAUCCUAUGGGGACCUAUGGGACGUGUGGGGGUUCCAUGGGAGACCCACAGGGUCCCAUGGGAGCUCCGUGGGGUUCUAAGGGGGUUCUAUGGGGUCCCAUGGGGUCUUACAGAGUCCCAAAGGAUCCUAUGGGGCCCCAUGGGGACCUGAGAGGAUUGCAUGGGAGUCCUAUGGGGUUCCAUGGGGUUCUGUGGGGGACUUAUGGGGUCCCACAAAGUCCUGUAUGCUCCUAUGGGGUCCCAUGAAGUCCUGUGAGGUCCUAUGGGGUCCUAUGGGGUCCCAUUGGAGUCCUAUGGGGUCCCAAGGGGUCCCGUGGGGUCUUAGGGUGUCCUACGGGGUCCUGCUGGAGUCCUAUGGGGUCCCGUGAGGUCUUACGGUGUCUUAUGGGGUCCUGCGGGGCCCUAUGGGAAGGAACAUGGGUCCUACAGCGUCCCAUGGGAGCUCCAUGGGAUCCUAAGCGGGUUCUAUGGGGUCCCGUGGGGUCUUACAGAGUCCCAAGGGGUCCUAUGAAGUCCUAUGGGGUCCCAUUGGAGUCCUAUGGGGUCCCACUGGAGUCCUAUGGGGUCCUGCGGGGCCCUAUGGGAAGGAACGUGGGUCCUACAGCGUCCCAUGGGAGCUCCGUGGGGUCCUAAGCGGGUUCUAUGGGGUCCCGUGGGGUCUUACAGAACCUAAGGGGUCCUAUGAAGUCCUAUGGGGCCCCGAGGGGGUUGCAAUGGGGUCCUAUGGGUCGUAUUGGGUCCCACCCCCCCUCCUCACCUCUCCCCCGCCUCCCGCCAGGUUUCGCCCCCAGCUGCAGCAGCUCGGCCUCCAGCUCGGCAGCGCUGGGCUCGGCGGCGGCCGGCGGCUGUGGGGACAAAGAACCACGCGCCGGGGCGCAGGUGGACACGGGGCACAGAACGGGACGGCCGGAACCCAAACGGCACAGCCGGAACCCCACGGGAACAGCCGGAACCCAACAACCCAAUGGGAACAGCCAGAACCCCACGGGAACAGCCAGAACCCAACAACCCCAUGGGAACAGCCAGAACCCCAUGGGAACAGCCAGAACCCCACGGGAACAGCCAGAACCCCACGGGAACAGUCAGAACCCAAAUGGGAACGGCCGGAACCCAAAUGGGAACCCAACAGGAACAGCCAGAACCCAAACGGGAACAAACAGCCAAAACCCAAAUGGGAACAAACAGCCGGAGCCCAAACAGGAACAGCUGGAAUGGGAACAGGUGGAACCCAACAGGAACAGCUGGAACCCAAACGGGAACAACCAGGAACCCAAAUAGGAACAACCAGAACCCAACAGGAACAAACAACCGGAACCCAAUGGGAACAAACAGCCGGAGCCCAAACAGGAACAGCUGGAAUGGGAACAGCCAGAAUGGGAACAGGUGGAACCCAAAAGGAACAGCCGGAACCCAAAUAGGAACAGCCGGAACAGAACAGCCAGGAACCCAAAUGGGAACAAACAACCAGAACCCAAUGGGAACAACUGGAACCCAAAUGAGAACAGCCAGAACCCAACGGGAACAGCCAGAACCCAAAUGGGAACAGCCAGAACCCAAAUGGGAACAGCCAGAACCCAAAUGGGAACAAACAACCAGAACCCAACGGGAACAACUGGAACCCAAACGGGAACAACUGGAACAGGAACAGCCGGAGCCCAACAGGAACAGCCAGGAACCCAAAUGGGAACAACCAGAACCCAAACAGGAACAGCCAGAACCCAAUAAGCACAGCCAGCACCCACUGGGCCCAACCAGCACCCACUGGGCCCAACCAGCACCCACUGGGCCCAACCAGCACCCAUUGGGCCCAACCAGCACCCACUGGGCCCAACCAGCACCCAUUGGGCCCAACCAGCACCCAGUGCCCCCCCCCACUCACCUGCCCAGCCCCGCUGCGCCCAGCUCUGCUCAUGGCUGCUCUGCUGCGGCUGUGGGGCAGCGCGGUGUCACAGCCCCAAC